UACGUAGGGUGCGAGCGUUAAUCGGAAUUACUGGGCGUAAAGCGUGCGCAGGCGGCUUUGCAAGACAGAUGUGAAAUCCCCGGGCUCAACCUGGGAACUGCAUUUGUGACUGCAAGGCUAGAGUACGGCAGAGGGGGAUGGAAUUCCGCGUGUAGCAGUGAAAUGCGUAGAUAUGCGGAGGAACACCAAUGGCGAAGGCAAUCCCCUGGGCCUGUACUGACGCUCAUGCACGAAAGCGUAGGGAGCAAACAGG
RNAcentral lists this ribosomal RNA (253 nucleotides) under uncultured bacterium. Its description in RNAcentral is "partial 16S ribosomal RNA". It matches the Rfam family "Bacterial small subunit ribosomal RNA", at positions 524 to 776 of the family's 1533-position model. The record is from RNAcentral.